This 427-nucleotide ribosomal RNA is filed under the name uncultured bacterium. RNAcentral's name for it is "partial 16S ribosomal RNA". It matches the Rfam family "Bacterial small subunit ribosomal RNA", at positions 355 to 774 of the family's 1533-position model. The record is from RNAcentral.
UGGGGAAUAUUGCACAAUGGGCGCAAGCCUGAUGCAGCCAUGCCGCGUGUAUGAAGAAGGCCUUCGGGUUGUAAAGUACUUUCAGCGAGGAGGAAGGCGUUGUGGUUAAUAACCGCAACGAUUGACGUUACUCGCAGAAGAAGCACCGGCUAACUCCGUGCCAGCAGCCGCGGUAAUACGGAGGGUGCAAGCGUUAAUCGGAAUUACUGGGCGUAAAGCGAACGCAGGCGGUCUGUCAAGUCGGAUGUGAAAUCCCCGGGCUCAACCUGGGAACUGCAUCCGAAACUGGCAGGCUAGAGUCUUGUAGAGGGGGGUAGAAUUCCAGGUGUAGCGGUGAAAUGCGUAGAGAUCUGGAGGAAUACCGGUGGCGAAGGCGGCCCCCUGGACAAAGACUGACGCUCAGGUGCGAAAGCGUGGGGAGCAAACA